This 482-nucleotide ribosomal RNA is filed under the name uncultured anaerobic ammonium-oxidizing bacterium. RNAcentral describes it as "bacterial SSU rRNA". It matches the Rfam family "Bacterial small subunit ribosomal RNA", at positions 365 to 837 of the family's 1533-position model. The record is from RNAcentral.
UUCGCAAUGCCCGAAAGGGUGACGAAGCGACGCCGCGUGCGGGAAGAAGGCCUUCGGGUUGUAAACCGCUGUCGGGAGUUAAGAAAUGUAAGGAUGUUAAUAGCAUCCUUGCUUGACUAAGGCUCCGGAGGAAGCCACGGCUAACUCUGUGCCAGCAGCCGCGGUAAUACAGAGGCGGCAAGCGUUGUUCGGAAUUAUUGGGCGUAAAGAGCACGUAGGCGGCUAUGUAAGUCGGUUGUGAAAGCCUUCCGCUCAACGGGAGAACAGCAUCCGAUACUGCAUGGCUUGAGUGCGGGAGGGGAGAGUGGAACUUCUGGUGGAGCGGUGAAAUGCGUAGAUAUCAGAAGGAACGCCGGCGGCGAAAGCGGCUCUCUGGCCCAUAACUGACGCUGAGUGUGCGAAAGCUAGGGGAGCAAACGGGAUUAGAUACCCCGGUAGUCCUAGCCGUAAACGAUGGGCACUAAGUAGAGGGGUUUUAAUCG